GACGAACGCUGGCGGCGUGCUUAACACAUGCAAGUCGAACGGAAAGGCCCUGCUUUUGUGGGGUGCUCGAGUGGCGAACGGGUGAGUAACACGUGAGUAACCUGCCCUUGACUUUGGGAUAACUUCAGGAAACUGGGGCUAAUACCGGAUAGGAGCUCCUGCUGCAUGGUGGUGGUUGGAAAGUUUCGGCGGUUGGGGAUGGACUCGCGGCUUAUCAGCUUGUUGGUGGGGUAGUGGCUUACCAAGGCUUUGACGGGUAGCCGGCCUGAGAGGGUGACCGGCCACAUUGGGACUGAGAUACGGCCCAGACUGCUACGGGCGGCAGCAGUGGGGAAUAUUGCACAAUGGGCGGAAGCCUGAUGCAGCAACGCCGCGUGCGGGAUGACGGCCGUCGGGUUGUAAACCGCUUUCGCCUGUGACGAAGCGUGAGUGACGGUAAUGGGUAAAGAAGCACCGGCUAACUACGUG
This 468-nucleotide ribosomal RNA is filed under the name uncultured bacterium. Its description in RNAcentral is "partial 16S ribosomal RNA". It matches the Rfam family "Bacterial small subunit ribosomal RNA", at positions 28 to 507 of the family's 1533-position model. The record is from RNAcentral.